AGAUUGAACGCUGGCGGCAUGCCUUACACAUGCAAGUCGAACGGCAGCGGACCUUCGGGUGCCGGCGAGUGGCGAACGGGUGAGUAAUAUAUCGGAACGUACCUUUCAGUGGGGGAUAACGUAGCGAAAGUUACGCUAAUACCGCAUAUUCUGUGAGCAGGAAAGCAGGGGAUCGCAAGACCUUGCGCUGAUUGAGCGGCCGAUAUCAGAUUAGCUAGUUGGUGAGGUAAAGGCUCACCAAGGCGACGAUCUGUAGCGGGUCUGAGAGGAUGAUCCGCCACACUGGAACUGAGACACGGUCCAGACUCCUACGGGAGGCAGCAGUGGGGAAUUUUGGACAAUGGGCGCAAGCCUGAUCCAGCCAUGCCGCGUGAGUGAAGAAGGCCUUCGGGUUGUAAAGCUCUUUCGGCCGGGAAGAAAUCGCACAGGUUAAUACCCUGUGUGGAUGACGGUACCGGAAUAAGAAGCACCGGCUAACUACGUG
This 484-nucleotide ribosomal RNA is filed under the name uncultured bacterium. Its description in RNAcentral is "bacterial SSU rRNA". It matches the Rfam family "Bacterial small subunit ribosomal RNA", at positions 26 to 507 of the family's 1533-position model. The record is from RNAcentral.